GCCUGGGUGGCUCAAUCGGUUGAGCAUCUGACUUCAGCUCAGGUCAUGAUCUCAUAGCUCGCGAGUGUGAGCCCUGCCUCAGGCU
RNAcentral lists this transfer RNA (85 nucleotides) under Felis catus (domestic cat). It matches the Rfam family "tRNA". Rfam says of the family: Transfer RNA (tRNA) molecules are approximately 80 nucleotides in length. Their secondary structure includes four short double-helical elements and three loops (D, anti-codon, and T loops). Further hydrogen bonds mediate the characteristic L-shaped molecular structure. tRNAs have two regions of fundamental functional importance: the anti-codon, which is responsible for specific mRNA codon recognition, and the 3' end, to which the tRNAs corresponding amino acid is attached (by aminoacyl-tRNA synthetases). tRNAs cope with the degeneracy of the genetic code in two manners: having more than one tRNA (with a specific anti-codon) for a particular amino acid; and 'wobble' base-pairing, i.e. permitting non-standard base-pairing at the 3rd anti-codon position. Lineage: Eukaryota; Metazoa; Chordata; Mammalia; Carnivora; Felidae. The record is from Rfam by way of RNAcentral.